GUGGGGAAUAUUGGACAAUGGGCGAAAGCCUGAUCCAGCAAUGCCGCGUGAGUGAAGAAGGCCUUAGGGUUGUAAAGCUCUUUUACCCGGGAAGAUAAUGACUGUACCGGGAGAAUAAGCCCCGGCUAACUCCGUGCCAGCAGCCGCGGUAAUACGGAGGGGGCUAGCGUUGUUCGGAAUUACUGGGCGUAAAGCGCACGUAGGCGGCUUUGUAAGUUAGAGGUGAAAGCCCAGGGCUCAACCCUGGAACUGCCUUUAAGACUGCAUCGCUUGAACACGGGAGAGGUGAGUGGAAUUCCGAGUGUAGAGGUGAAAUUCGUAGAUAUUCGGAAGAACACCAGUGGCGAAGGCGACUCACUGGACCGUUGUUGACGCUUAGGUGCGAAAGCGUGGGGAGCAAACAGGAUUAGAAACCCUUGUAGUCC
RNAcentral lists this ribosomal RNA (425 nucleotides) under uncultured bacterium. Its description in RNAcentral is "partial 16S ribosomal RNA". It matches the Rfam family "Bacterial small subunit ribosomal RNA", at positions 354 to 796 of the family's 1533-position model. The record is from RNAcentral.